GCCUGGUCCUUUGUCCGCAAACUACGCCUGGCGACGCGUCCUCAAAACCGCCCAGCACAAUCAGCACACCGCCCGCUCCCACCCUUCCCGCACCCAACCCUCUCUCUCCUCUCCCCCUCGUAUCCCUGCCCUCCUCCAUCGCAUCCUAACCCGCCGCCGGAUCUCCGGUGAUCAACGUUUCCUCGGUCGUCACCGCCUCCACCGUGCGGAUCCGCUCUCCAUCGCUUGGAUCCGGCCAUCAUCGCCCCACCCACGAUUUUUUCCCUGUCCUCCACCUGCAGGGAAUCCCUCCUAGGCUGGGCUGCUCGAAACACGACUCGGUCGUCCUCCUCCGAGCCGUGAAGACGCCGCCCAUGCCAAAUCACCUCGCCGCCGGUACUCAGCCCCUCCACCUCGCCACCCAUGUCUCCCUCGACUCCCCAGCCUCGCCGCAGCUCCGGCUCCUCCUCCCGGCUGACUUCCUCCUGCAACACUGCAACCCCGCACCUCCAUUAAGGCCACGUCGCGCCUAACCCUAGCUGCACGCCUAAUUCUGGACCUCGCCGGACCAGCCGGGGCCGUUGAGGGAGGGCUCUACACGCCAUGACGCGAUGGCGACCCACGCAGGGGAAGAGCCCACCGCCUGACGCGGGCAGGAGCUUGCCUGGGGCCGGUGGCCGGGCGAUCCGGCGCCCUACUUCCAUGCGUUCCUCGGCCCUGGUGAGCUCAUCGAGAACAAGACCGCCGGUGAGACCUUCCAGCCCUUGGCUUCACAUCAUUCCUGAUGUAAAUAGGAGCCAUUUUGCACCGCAUCUAAUAUUUACGGUUGGAUCCAACAAUUGGAAUCCUAGACUGAGCGAUGUACGUCAACUCCCGUGGGAUCUUUGUCAGUUGUAUCAUACAAGGCUAAUGUUUUUCACCAUCUUCUAUUGGAAAUCAUCAUUGGGCAUUAACCGCAGAAAUUAGUUGCUUUGUAAACUGUGGGCUGGGUAAAGCGAUGCCCUGUGCGCCUGCGUGGUGUGAUCUACAUUUUUCUAGAUGAAGCUCAGGGUAUCAGUAAGUUUCAUAUGUACGUACCAGUGUGUUCUUUACCUUUUAUUUUUAUUUUAUUACAUUGAGGUUUAUCUUUUCUAGAUUGGCAUGGGGUUUAGAACUUCAGAUUCAGUGGUUUCACAUAUUUUGUCCUUGAAACAGUGUGACAUGUUAUUUAUCUGAAAUUCAUAAUAAUAUCGAAGUUUCAGGGACAAUACAGCGGGCUUUAUAUGUAUUUACUUUGUAGAUAGAUGAAUGUUCUAACAGGGAGUACUUUGUUGGUCUGAACAUUAAUAAAAGAUAUAAAACCACCAUGGAUGUUGGUACUGUGAUUUAUGUAUAGACUAGCUAAAUAUCCGUGCACUGCUACAAAGUAAUCAGUUAUGUAACUUCACGAGCACGCGUGUCCAGUGAAUACACAUGGACGUUUAAACUGCACAACUGCUCCUUUUUCAGCAACCAGCAUUAAUAGGAUGGUGCAAGGCCAAGACCCCAUCAAGGAUAUAUGUACUUUUAAUGAGGGUUCAACAUUCCUCUUCUGCCACUUCUAACCCACAAUCAGGUACACUGAGGUAUAUACUACCUGGAACUCACCACGACGAGUAUGUCGUUCUAGAUUUCCUUCUGAAGUUAUAUACAAAGAUGGUAAAUGAUCACACCCACAAUAUCACUUUUUGGAAAGUAGCCAGCAAUAGUUCUUUCCAUUAGAAAAAAUGAAGCAAAUUGAUUCAUUAACUAAAAUAUAGAAUGGGUGCUCACAAUGGCUAAUGCAAACCUGAAAGCAAUAAUAAACGUUGUGGAAUGCAUGAUCUUUAAGAAAAAGUGUGAAUGCAGACUAUACACUUCCACAAUAGUACAUCUGGCAUCCUCUGAGACUAAAGUAAUAUAUGGUUGACAAAAAAGAAAUUUCCGUGGUCUCACGAAUAUGAUAAUAAUAUAGCUCUGAAGUAAGAUAAAUAAAGUUUAUCUUGCAGUGCUAGCAGUGACCCCCGUUUCGCCUCAAAUGUGUGUGAGAGAUAUUUGGAAUUUAUCCUAGAGGUAUUGUGUAAGCGUAGAUGCUUCUCUCUACGUCAGAUCUUUUUGCUUGUGGGAUGAGAUUCCUUACACUCAUAAGGUAUUCAGUUGCACAUGUAAUCUAGAGGAGAAAACCACUAAAAAUUACAAUAAUUGUUGCAGUUAUCAAUGUCGUACAAUUAAGCAAUGCUUGCUCAACAUUUGUAUUAUGUCAGGCAUAACCAGUCAGUGGAUUGAUGUGUAAUAUUAUAGCAUUGUGAUUUGUGGUGCAUUAGUGCUAAUAGUCAUUGCUUAUUUAGUUAGUAGAAAUUUUUGUUAACUGCUCAAUAUCAGUUCUACUCAACAUGCUUGGAGAUUAGUGGAAAAUGGCCUGACUGUUGGGUCUGAACUACACCGAAGGAAAAUAAAACCUGAUGUGUUUGUGUUGCAUGUGGGCGUGAUGAAAGUCUGGCGCAUCGGUUCUGAGAGUGCCCUCACUCAAAUUUUGUUUGGAAGGAGCUUCAAUCGUUAUUGGGCCCCUUGGAUAAACCCCAAAGCGGAUGAGGAAUCACAGUGAGUUGUGCUGGUGGCUCCUGAAUUUCUUUGGCUAAUAGAAGAAGAUGAUGGCUUGUGGAUGGUAAAACAGAGGCAUUGUUAGUCGAUGCCUGUAAUGUAGCCUGUCUUGCACGCACAGAUGGGCCUGAGCAUUGACAAGCAGAGGAUGUUUAAUUUGUUGGGUCAGAUUAUUUUAUAUAAUCUUCCCUAUGAUGCCUUCAGGCUUCAUGGCUAAAUUUUGUUCUCUGUUUUGCAGAUAUUUUCCAUAUGCGGCUAUGCAGGUGAUGGUUUUAUUUUUUUCUUAUUUACAAAACAUUCCACUAUCGACAUGCAUAUGUCUAAUCCACUUAUGUCAUGGAUCCUGAGUAGUCAUCAUAUGAAUAAAUUUGUGGAAUCGCUACAGUCACUUGUUUAAGCUGCUAUUUCCAACUCCAUGUUUGUCAAUACUAUGUAGAAUCUUUUGUUACAAACAAUUAUCGUGUGGUUUUAAAACUUUUUUUUAGAAUGGCCAGGGGAUAUGUGGGGCAACUGAAAACAAAAUAUUACAAGUUAGCUAAUAUUGUGCCAUAGUAUUUUGGGCAUGUCAUAAAGUAUGAGUUAACUGAUAUAAAGAAGUGCAGGAUUUAAGUGGACCAAAAAUAUUAGGAUAACUCCUUGUUGGAUAGUUACAUGAUAAUAUAAAUAUCAACAAAUAACUUUUCUCUUCAUGUCAGUUCUAAAGACAGGUUGUGUGUAAGACCGGUUACUUUCUCUGUCAUCGUUUCGCUGAAGACGGUGGUUACAUGUUUCUUCAAUUUAGAAAAGUGAGGGCAGUUUAGAAAAGUAAGGGUUCAACAUUUAGAAUAUCCAUUUCAUUAUGCUGUUACUUCAUUAUGCUGCACAUUUAUAUCUCCAAAUUCAGCAUAUCUUGAUGUCCCAAACUAUACACGAUGAAUCAAAAAGUAGUGCUUUGUUGGAGUUUCAUGAAAAGCCAUCAUGCCAUUUUUCAAGGAAGCUUUGGAUAUAUUGGGCUGACCAAUGGAUGAGUAUAUUCUUGUUUGGUCAUUUGAACUGAUAUUUCCAUGUUUAUAUAUAUUCAUUGACUUCACAUUGUUGCCAAAAAAACAUUUUAUGGUAAAAGCACGUUCUUGAAAACUACCAUUUGGUAGAUGUGCAUUGCACCUGUGUGUUCAUUGCACCUGUGUGAUAUACUAAUAAUCUUUUCUGAACUACGAGUUCCAAUAAUAGGGAACUAGGGAAGGUUAUGUCUCAGAAAUAUGGGAGAUAAGAACUGAAGAAGCGAUACCUUAGUUUGGUAUGAUGCAAUGAGAAGAUUACAAUGUUUGAGAGGCUCAGAGAGUACCAAGCCACAUGUGCAAUGUUAGUGGAUUACAGGUCGGAAGAACAAGGCUAUUCAGAGUUUAGACUCCAUGUGCAUGUCUGCUGCUGCUAGAUGAUUUUGCUUGUCACAGGACUGUUUAUGACUGACAAGCCAAGGCUUCGGUAAUUGACGGAGCUAUUCUGACCUCAUUUUCUAUAAAAACAAUUUCCACAUGACACCAACAAGCAGGAUUUGCUUUGUUAUGUUUUUCUCGGUACAAUUAAAACUUCUUGUUAUGGCUUCAUGACAAUGGAGUGGUGAAAUGCCCAUCCAGGUUUGCAAAUUCUCUAGAUAGAUCAAAAUCAAUAGAUGGUUAACAACUUCAUGUAAUAGCUUCGAGCUAGCUGAUGAAGACAUCUAGAUGAUUAGCUAGAGAACAUCCAUCAGUGUAUGGUUAACAACUUCAUGUAAUAUUGACUUCGUAUAAAUUAGCCUUUUGUCGGUCCGAUGAUUACCAACACUACUUAUUAAGUAAUAUAUCCCAUGCGAUUCUUUUUGGUACUAAUUUUAAGCUUAGGUCAAGUUGAUUUAUCAUUGAGUAGGUCAAGCUGAUUUAUCAUUGAGCAUGUCUGCAUAAGGUUCAUAUCAUGGAUGUUUUGUGAUCGUGGGUCUACAAGUGUGUAAAUAUCUUAAGCCUAGAGACGGUGAUUUUAUGAUGGAAGUAUGUUGAAUACCAAAUAAUUUCUUAAUAUAUAGUUAUUUUGUUUAUAAAUUGUAUUAUAUAUAUAUAUAUUGGUAGGUAGAUGUAUUACUUUUUUUUGGACUACGUCUAUAAGUGCAUAUUUUUUGAAUUUUCUUGAUAUUUAGAUAUUACAUAUUUCUUAUUUAUAAAUAAACUUAUGCUUUUUGUGCAUUAGUGAAUACGCACAGAUAAUUGAACUCAUAGUUGUGGAGCCUUGUUGCACCAACAGUGUUCUAACACUGAUUAGGACAUGUGAAAGAAGAAAGAAAAAGACCACUGCUACUUGAUGUGCAUGAUAAGAAUUGAGGAGAAGAAGAAUAUAUACAUUGUCCAUGAGAAUACUAAAAGUAUAUGUUAUAUAUAUAUAUAUAUGCCCAUCAGUAGUUUCUUCCCCGCAUACAUAAAAAGGCUGAUCUGCUCGUCAUGGGAUGUUGGGAAUUUGGACUUGUCAGAAGGUAACAGAAUCGGCACUAUCUUCUGUAGUUCUUCUACUGUCAGCUGAACUUCCUCUUGUUAUUGACGCUGGCUUGCUGCCUGGGCAUAUAGGAACUUUAAAAUUCAGGUUCCAAAACUGUUCUCUCCUCAGCAUGUAUUAUGAAAUUUAUUCUUUCCAAGUUCGAUCACAGAGGUCACUUGUGUAGCCUAGACGAAAUAUGAAGCAACUAUAACAUCCAGUCUGCGGCUCAUGAAAUUUUGCAUCACUGAUUAUUGGGUUUGAUUUUCAGACAUGGAUGUAAUGACUAAUGACGAUGAUGGUGAGAGUUUUAGAAAGUGUCAAUUAUUUUUGCCUUCUAUUUUGUAUUUAAUUAUUGUGUUUUUCUUUACUGAUGAAUACAUGUUCUAUUUCCUUUCAUGUAAUUUAGUCUGAUUCCUAAGGUUGUGGUUGGCACCUAUAUGAGCACAAGGAGCAUGAUGUGUUCUGUUUCUGGAUUGCAUAGCAACAAUUACAUCUUAGCCAGAUUUCUAGAUUGGUGUUCAAAAGCUGCACAAGUGUACAUUCACUUUUGACGUGGAAGUUUGGCUUCUUCGAGAAUGUAGAAAAUGUCCUUUACUAUGCAUAGCAACAAUUACAUCUUGGCCAGAUUUCUAGAUUGGUGUUCAAAAGAUACACAAGUGUACAUUCACUUUUGAUGUGAAGUUUGGCUUCUUCGGCAGUGUAGAAACCGUCCUUUACUAGAGCAUCUCAAAAUACAUAAUCAUCUGCCAUAUUAAUUUCCGAGUUACAUAAUUCUUUGUACUAGGAGAUAAUUAUGGUUUGGAAGUUAGUAUGUUUAUCUUAAA
This is a long non-coding RNA of Lolium perenne, 5882 nucleotides long. RefSeq lists it as uncharacterized. The record is from RefSeq and is a predicted model, not a curated record. Lineage: Eukaryota; Viridiplantae; Streptophyta; Magnoliopsida; Poales; Poaceae.